This 800-nucleotide ribosomal RNA is filed under the name uncultured bacterium. RNAcentral's name for it is "bacterial SSU rRNA". It matches the Rfam family "Bacterial small subunit ribosomal RNA", at positions 8 to 791 of the family's 1533-position model. The record is from RNAcentral.
AGAGUUUGAUCAUGGCUCAGGAUGAGCGCUGGCGGCAUGCCUAAUACAUGCAAGUCGAACGAGAGGAAGGAAAGCUUGCUUUCCUGAAUCUAGUGGCGAACGGGUGAGUAACACGUAGGUAACCUGCCCAUGUGCCCGGGAUAACUUCUGGAAACGGAUGCUAAAACCGGAUAGGUAGCAGACAAGCAUUUGACUGCUAUUAAAGUGGCCUUGGCCAUGAACAUGGAUGGACCUGCGGUGCAUUAGCUGGUUGGUGAGGUAACGGCCCACCAAGGCGACGAUGCAUAGCCGGCCUGAGAGGGCGGACGGCCACAUUGGGACUGAGACACGGCCCAAACUCCUACGGGAGGCAGCAGUAGGGAAUUUUCGUCAAUGGGGGGAACCCUGAACGAGCAAUGCCGCGUGAGUGAGGAAGGUCUUCGGAUCGUAAAGCUCUGUUGUAAGAGAAAAACGGCACUCAUAGGGAAUGAUGAGUGAGUGAUGGUAUCUUACCAGAAAGUCACGGCUAACUACGUGCCAGCAGCCGCGGUAAUACGUAGGUGGCGAGCGUUAUCCGGAAUGAUUGGGCGUAAAGGGUGCGUAGGUGGCAGAUCAAGUCUGGAGUAAAAGGUAUGGGCUCAACCCGUACUGGCUCUGGAAACUGAUCAGCUAGAGAACAGAAGAGGACGGCGGAACUCCAUGUGUAGCGGUAAAAUGCGUAGAUAUAUGGAAGAACACCGGUGGCGAAGGCGGCCGUCUGGUCUGGAUUCUGACACUGAAGCACGAAAGCGUGGGGAGCAAAUAGGAUUAGAUACCCUAGU